Molecule: long non-coding RNA, 1591 nt
Filed under: Homo sapiens (human)
Lineage: Eukaryota; Metazoa; Chordata; Mammalia; Primates; Hominidae
Description: HSALNT0323294
Source: RNAcentral
CUUUUACAUUUUCUUGCCUGAGUCUGAGGUGAACAGUGAACAUAUUUACAUUUGAUUUAACAGUGAACCUUAAUUCUUUCUGGCUUCACAGUGAAACAAGUUUAUGCAAUCGAUCAAAUAUUUUCAUCCCUGAGGUUAACAAUUACCAUCAAAAUGUUUUGUGGAGACUAUCCCUAGAAUUAACCACUUCUCCAAAACGCCCUGAUUCCUUCCAUUGAAGACCGAUAUUUAAAACCAAGAUCUGGAUACUAGUUAUACUCAUUGCUACUGGGGUAUCACUGUUUAUAUGCCCUCUUAAGAGUACAGAGCAAAAAAUAUGUGUGUAUACUAACCCAUUUAUCUGCACACAUCUAUAUUUACUUUUGUACAUGUGUAUGCAUAUAUGUUUGCAUGUAUGCAUGUCUCCAUCUACCUUCCUACUUAUCGAUUUCUCUGUCUCUAUCCAUACAUCUAUCUACCAUCUAUCUUCAUACUAAUACCUCCAAUCUAAUCAACAACACCGUUCUAACCUUCACCAUUAUUUGUUACUUCUUUCUCAGACAGUGAAAACUAAGACUAUCAAUAUCUGAAACCUGUUUGCUUAUUUGUUUAACCCUACCAUACAUGUAGUUUAAAACUUGCUAAGCCAUUACUCUGUGAGAAACAACUUUACCAAGAGGAGUACAUUGUUUGGAUUAUUUUUAUUUUUAGCUUUACAGUUCAGUCAAAACACUAUUUUCUAAAGUUACUUAGGGCACAUCCCCUCUCUCCACUGAGCUUAUUGUGGUUAUGAGAUUUAUUUGUUAUAUAAAUAGAUAAAUUUGCUACAAACUGCAUUUUCUGUUGGGUUUUCCAUACAUCUUUGUUGAUUUUGUUAAACUUACAUUUAACAAAAUGUGCUUUUUGUGGUAUACAAUUUUAUGAUUUAAGUCAUGUAUCCAAUGCCACAUUUCCUUAUAGAAGACUUCCAUUAUCCAAAAAUUCCACCACACUGCCUGCCUGUAGUCAGCUACCGACCCCAAACUCCAAACUCUGGCAAAUAUUGCACUGUUUGCUGCUGCUAUAGUUUCACCUUCUCCAGAAUGUCAUGGGAACAGAGUCAUAAACUAUUGAACCUUUUGGACAUGGCUUCCUCCGCUUAGUAGAAACAUUUAACCCUAAUUCAUAUUGUAUUAAUCAUUAGUUCUGCCAUUUUAUUGCUGAGUCACUGUCUCUUGUAUGGAUGUACCACAAUUUGUUUAUCUGUUCACAGUUUGAAUGGAUAAACUGUGAAUGGAUGAACUGUGGGUUGUUUCAGGAUUUAGUGAUUAUAAAUAAAGCUGCUCUAAACAUAUCAAGUUAAAGUUUUUGAGUGCAGUUAUGUUUCCAUUUCUUUUGCGUAAACACUUAGAAGCAAGAUUGCUAGGUCAUAUGGUAACAGUACGUUUAGCUUUAGAAAAAACUGGCAAACUGUUUUCCCAAAGUGACUAUACAAUUUUGCAUUCUCACCAGCAAUAUAUUACAGUAGAAUAUCAUUGUAGUUUUACUUUGAAUUUCUUUAUGGGUAAUGAUAUUGAUCAUAUCUUCAUGUGCUCAUUUACUAUACCGUCAUUGUGAAUGUGUUUGUUUAAAA